UACGGAGGGGGCUAGCGUUGUUCGGAAUUACUGGGCGUAAAGCGCACGUAGGCGGCUUUGUAAGUUAGAGGUGAAAGCCCGGGGCUCAACUCCGGAAUUGCCUUUAAGACUGCAUCGCUAGAACGUCGGAGAGGUAAGUGGAAUUCCGAGUGUAGAGGUGAAAUUCGUAGAUAUUCGGAAGAACACCAGUGGCGAAGGCGACUUACUGG
This 209-nucleotide ribosomal RNA is filed under the name uncultured bacterium. Its description in RNAcentral is "partial 16S ribosomal RNA". It matches the Rfam family "Bacterial small subunit ribosomal RNA", at positions 524 to 732 of the family's 1533-position model. The record is from RNAcentral.